AGAAAGAGCGCUGGAACUGCUAAUUCCACACUCCAUAGUUAACACUAUGGCUUUCUU
This 57-nucleotide transfer RNA is filed under the name Proechimys goeldii. RNAcentral's name for it is "tRNA-Ser". The record is from RNAcentral. Lineage: Eukaryota; Metazoa; Chordata; Mammalia; Rodentia; Echimyidae.